RNAcentral lists this ribosomal RNA (173 nucleotides) under Lasiodiplodia theobromae. RNAcentral's name for it is "5.8S ribosomal RNA". The stretch from base 1 to 154 matches the Rfam family "5.8S ribosomal RNA". Rfam says of the family: 5.8S ribosomal RNA (5.8S rRNA) is a component of the large subunit of the eukaryotic ribosome. It is transcribed by RNA polymerase I as part of the 45S precursor that also contains 18S and 28S rRNA. The record is from RNAcentral. Lineage: Eukaryota; Fungi; Ascomycota; Dothideomycetes; Botryosphaeriales; Botryosphaeriaceae.
AACUUUCAACAACGGAUCUCUUGGUUCUGGCAUCGAUGAAGAACGCAGCGAAAUGCGAUAAGUAAUGUGAAUUGCAGAAUUCAGUGAAUCAUCGAAUCUUUGAACGCACAUUGCGCCCCUUGGUAUUCCGGGGGGCAUGCCUGUUCGAGCGUCAUUACAACCCUCAAGCUCUG